This 345-nucleotide ribosomal RNA is filed under the name uncultured bacterium. RNAcentral's name for it is "bacterial SSU rRNA". It matches the Rfam family "Bacterial small subunit ribosomal RNA", at positions 8 to 349 of the family's 1533-position model. The record is from RNAcentral.
AGAGUUUGAUCCUGGCUCAGGACGAACGCUGGCGGCGCGCCUAACACAUGCAAGUCGAACGAGCGAGAGAGCUUGCUUUCUCGAGCGAGUGGCGAACGGGUGAGUAACGCGUGAGGAACCUGCCUCAAAGAGGGGGACAACAGUUGGAAACGACUGCUAAUACCGCAUAAGCCCACGGGUCGGCAUCGACCAGAGGGAAAAGGAGCGAUCCGCUUUGGGAUGGCCUCGCGUCCGAUUAGCUAGUUGGUGAGGUAACGGCCCACCAAGGCGACGAUCGGUAGCCGGACUGAGAGGUUGAACGGCCACAUUGGGACUGAGACACGGCCCAGACCUCCUACGGGAGCA